UGACUCAAUCAGCAGAC
Molecule: ribosomal RNA, 17 nt
Filed under: uncultured Glomus
Lineage: Eukaryota; Fungi; Glomeromycota; Glomeromycetes; Glomerales; Glomeraceae
Description: partial 28S ribosomal RNA
Source: RNAcentral